UACGAAGGGUGCUAGCGUUGUUCGGAAUUACUGGGCGUAAAGAGCGCGUAGGCGGUUAUACAAGUCAGGGGUGAAAUCCCGGAGCUUAACUCCGGAACUGCCUUUGAAACUGUAUAGCUGGAGUGUGUGAGGGGAUAGCGGAAUUCCUAAUGUAGAGGUGAAAUUCGUAGAUAUUAGGAGGAACACCGGUGGCGAAGGCGGCUAUCUGGCACACAACUGACGCUGAGGCGCGAAAGCGUGGGGAGCAAACGGG
This 253-nucleotide ribosomal RNA is filed under the name uncultured bacterium. RNAcentral's name for it is "partial 16S ribosomal RNA". It matches the Rfam family "Bacterial small subunit ribosomal RNA", at positions 524 to 776 of the family's 1533-position model. The record is from RNAcentral.